RNAcentral lists this ribosomal RNA (430 nucleotides) under bacterium. Its description in RNAcentral is "partial 16S ribosomal RNA". It matches the Rfam family "Bacterial small subunit ribosomal RNA", at positions 355 to 776 of the family's 1533-position model. The record is from RNAcentral.
UGGGGAAUAUUGGACAAUGGGCGGAAGCCUGAUCCAGCCAUGCCGCGUGUGUAAAGAAGGCCUUUUGGUUGUAAAGCACUUUAAGCGAGGAGGAGGCUACUUGGAUUAAUACUCUAGGAUAGUGGACGUUACUCGCAGAAUAAGCACCGGCUAACUCUGUGCCAGCAGCCGCGGUAAUACAGAGGGUGCGAGCGUUAAUCGGAUUUACUGGGCGUAAAGCGUGCGUAGGCGGCUUCUUAAGUCGGAUGUGAAAUCCCUGAGCUUAACUUAGGAAUUGCAUUCGAUACUGGGAAGCUAGAGUAUGGGAGAGGAUGGUAGAAUUCCAGGUGUAGCGGUGAAAUGCGUAGAGAUCUGGAGGAAUACCGAUGGCGAAGGCAGCCAUCUGGCCUAAUACUGACGCUGAGGUACGAAAGCAUGGGGAGCAAACAGG